UUUUCCUGGGCCAUUAGCUCAGGUGGUUAGAGCGCACCCCUGAUAAGGGUGAGGUCCCUGGUUCAAGUCCAGGAUGGCCCAUAUCUCUAUGUUGGGGGUAUAGCUCAGUUGGUAGAGCGCCUGCUUUGCAAGCAGGAUGUCAGCGGUUCGAGUCCGCUUACCUCCACUGAAUACCACCUCUUACAUAUAGUUGAAGUGGGAAAUUGUUUUGAGUCGUGUCCUAAUUUGCUCUGAGCGAAUCUAGCUUCCUAUUUUAUCCAAGAAAUAAGAUGCUGGACUCAUUGAAUUUUUUUUCAUUGUUUUCAGAGAACCUUGACAACUGCAUAGAUUAUUUUUAAAGACAAUAAGCAUCUUUAAUGAUGCAGAUUUAUUAUUUGUGCGAAUGCAUUAAAUAACAAUUCUAUUAAGCUGAUGCUUCAAUUAUUGAAGUUAUUGGUCAAGCUACAAAGGGCUCACGGAGGAUACCUAGGCACACAGAGGCGAUGAA
RNAcentral lists this transfer RNA (487 nucleotides) under uncultured cyanobacterium. Its description in RNAcentral is "partial contains 16S-23S ribosomal RNA intergenic spacer and 23S ribosomal RNA". The stretch from base 94 to 166 matches the Rfam family "tRNA". The record is from RNAcentral. Lineage: Bacteria; Bacillati; Cyanobacteriota.